RNAcentral lists this ribosomal RNA (112 nucleotides) under Riccia cf. atropurpurea HS 48482. RNAcentral describes it as "partial 26S large subunit ribosomal RNA". It matches the Rfam family "Eukaryotic large subunit ribosomal RNA", at positions 1 to 111 of the family's 3401-position model. RNAcentral also lists the same sequence under 5 other names. Lineage: Eukaryota; Viridiplantae; Streptophyta; Marchantiopsida; Marchantiales; Ricciaceae. The record is from RNAcentral.
CCGACCUCAGAUCAGGCGAGACCACCCGCUGAGUUUAAGCAUAUCACUAAGCGGAGGAAAAGAAACUAACAAGGAUUCCCUUAGUAGCGGCGAGCGAACCGGGAAGAGCCCA